AACGAACGCUGGCGGCAGGCUUAACACAUGCAAGUCGAGCGCAUCCUUCGGGGUGAGCGGCAGACGGGUGAGUAACGCGUGGGAAUCUACCUUUUGCUACGGAAUAGCUCCGGGAAACUGGAAUUAAUACCGUAUGUGCCCUUAGGGGGAAAGAUUUAUCGGCAAGAGAUGAGCCCGCGUUGGAUUAGCUAGUUGGUGGGGUAAAGGCCUACCAAGGCGACGAUCCAUAGCUGGUCUGAGAGGAUGAUCAGCCACAUUGGGACUGAGACACGGCCCAAACUCCUACGGGAGGCAGCAGUGGGGAAUAUUGGACAAUGGGCGCAAGCCUGAUCCAGCCAUGCCGCGCGAGUGAUGAAGGCCUUAGGGUUGUAAAGCUCUUUCACCGGAGAAGAUAAUGACGGUAUCCGGAGAAGAAGCCCCGGCUAACUUCGUG
This 433-nucleotide ribosomal RNA is filed under the name uncultured bacterium. RNAcentral describes it as "partial 16S ribosomal RNA". It matches the Rfam family "Bacterial small subunit ribosomal RNA", at positions 29 to 507 of the family's 1533-position model. The record is from RNAcentral.